This 509-nucleotide ribosomal RNA is filed under the name uncultured bacterium. Its description in RNAcentral is "partial 16S ribosomal RNA". It matches the Rfam family "Bacterial small subunit ribosomal RNA", at positions 28 to 507 of the family's 1533-position model. The record is from RNAcentral.
GACGAACGCUGGCGGCGUGCUUAACACAUGCAAGUCGAACGAGAGCGAUGGAAGCUAGCUUCUAUCAAUCUUAGUGGCGAACGGGUGAGUAACGCGUAAUCAACCUGCCCUUCAGAGGGGGACAACAGUUGGAAACGACUGCUAAUACCGCAUACGAUCUAAUCUCGGCAUCGAGGAUAGAUGAAAGGUGGCCUCUACAUGUAAGCUAUCACUGAAGGAGGGGAUUGCGUCUGAUUAGCUAGUUGGAGGGGUAACGGCCCACCAAGGCGAUGAUCAGUAGCCGGUCUGAGAGGAUGAACGGCCACAUUGGGACUGAGACACGGCCCAGACUCCUACGGGAGGCAGCAGUGGGGAAUCUUCCGCAAUGGACGAAAGUCUGACGGAGCAACGCCGCGUGAGCGAUGACGGCCUUCGGGUUGUAAAGCUCUGUUAAUCGGGACGAAAGGCCUUCUUGCGAAUAGUGAGAAGGAUUGACGGUACCGGAAUAGAAAGCCACGGCUAACUACGUG